This 966-nucleotide unclassified non-coding RNA is filed under the name Hevea brasiliensis (rubber tree). The record is from RNAcentral. Lineage: Eukaryota; Viridiplantae; Streptophyta; Magnoliopsida; Malpighiales; Euphorbiaceae.
CCACAACGCAUUAAAGUUCUCAACUUCCCACAAAUAUUGUUUGUAAGACUUACAUUUCAUGACAGUUAUAUUAUUAUUAUUUUUAACUAGACAACAACAACAUUUGAUAGCUUAAUUAUCUGCUCGUAAGCAGGUGAGACUCUGGUGCCAUUGCGGGUAAAAUCUGCGGUUCUACCACCUGGAUAAGGCCUGUGGCCAGCCUUUGUGUUAAAUCCUCCACAGGUAUCUUCAUCACAUCCUUUCUCAUCCCAAUAUCAGCAGCAUAUCUACUGGCACAGUACACCCCAACCGCUGUUGCUGCCAUUCCAUAGACGUUGGUUGUCACGAGACGCAGCGGUGUUGAAAGAACCGCUGCCAGAGGUCCUCCGAUGAUUGAGACUGCUUGCCCACUUUGUCCCAUGGUCCUCUGAUCAACCACAAGCAGUCCAGUUUUGCAGUAUAUUGCAAAGUCUUCACAGUUGUUCUUGAAUACAUUAUAGCAUCCAAAGCCAUUGUCGAGUAGGUAUUUUGCUCGAUGUACCACAAGAUCAUCUGAAUCAGCGCUAGCAAGGGUGCAAGUUCCACCUCGAGCUUUGACCAGAAAAAGAGCUGGACUAACACCAUACUCGAAACGAUACAACACUCCACCAGCAAGAAAACAGUUCAAGCAUGAGGAGACAACCCCAUUCCCUUCUUCUAGAGGAAUGCAAGUAGGGCAUGGCACGAAAGAUCGAGCAGGUCCUGAACUUACGAGUAAGACAUCAAGCACAGUCCCAGUUCCUACUUCUUGACCUCUUCUGGUGAAAUGAAUAACUCUGCCAUCUCCAACAUAAAUGCCAUGAUGGGCAUAGAUAUAAGCGGCCCUCCAAGAAUAGAUAUGAUCACCCGGUUUCAAGCUCUCCCGAUUAACUCUGUUGGAAAGAAGCCCCAUAUCUGGUUUCUCUUUGCUUGCCCUCUUCUCAAAUUGCCAGCGGAAGGGAACGGGGG